UUUCUAGAAGAGUUGUCUUAGAUACCGAAUCAACUGUCUUAGACUUGACUACAGAGAUCGAACUCUCUGGAUUGGAUCUAAACUUUCUCGAAAGCUUGCUAAAAGUGAUUCCCUCGAGAGAGCUUGCAAGUCCAAGAUCUGGUCUUCUCUUUCUCUGUCGGCGAAUACGCUGCUAGCUGGACUUCCUUUUCUCGCAUCAAAGCUUGACUUCCAG
RNAcentral lists this unclassified non-coding RNA (214 nucleotides) under Hevea brasiliensis (rubber tree). The record is from RNAcentral. Lineage: Eukaryota; Viridiplantae; Streptophyta; Magnoliopsida; Malpighiales; Euphorbiaceae.